AGAGUAGAAAUAAAUUAUGAAUAAAACCAUGUUCUUCUCCAUCCAUUUUCCUGUCUGUUAAAACCAUUUUCUAAUACAGGCCAUUUGGUGUUAUUGUCUGUAGGUUCUGGAUCCACUCCCGUGCUGCCCACAGGUCCAGAGGCCCACAGGUCCAGCCUAUAUGUGACUGUAACCCUGAUAUGGUAAGGUUCUGGAUCCACUCCCGUGCUGCCCACAGGUCCAGAGGCCCACAGGUCCAGCCUAUAUGUGACUGUAACCCUGAUAUGGUAAGGUAGUGAUGGGGUGCUCCUGGAAGUGGGUUAUGAGUAAAUUGUAGG
RNAcentral lists this long non-coding RNA (317 nucleotides) under Oncorhynchus mykiss (rainbow trout). RNAcentral describes it as "lncRNA (ENSOMYG00000050544.1)". Lineage: Eukaryota; Metazoa; Chordata; Actinopteri; Salmoniformes; Salmonidae. The record is from RNAcentral.